CCUACGGUAGGCAGCAUUGAGGAAUAUUGGUCAAUGGUCGGGAGACUGAACCAGCCAAGCCGCGUGAGGGAUGAAGGUACAGAGUAUCGUACACCUCUUUUGUCAGGGAACAAAGGCGGGGACGUGUCCCCGGAUGAGUGUACCUGAAGAACAAGCAUCGGCUAACUCCGUGCCAGCAGCCGCGGUAAUACGGCGGAUGCGAUGUUUAUCCGGUUUUAUUGGGUUAAAGGGGUGCUCAGGCGGUCUGUUAAGUCAGCGGUAAAAGCCCGGGGCCCAACCCCGGCCCGCCGUUGAAACUGGCAGUCUCGAGUUGGAGAGAGGCAGGCGGAAUGCGCGGUGUAGCGGUGAAAUGCAUAGAUAUCGCGCAGAACUCCGAUUGCGAAGGCAGCAUGCCGGCUCCACACUGACGCUGAGGCACGAAAGCGUGGGUAUCGAACAGGAUUAGAUACCCUUGUAGUC
This 459-nucleotide ribosomal RNA is filed under the name uncultured bacterium. RNAcentral describes it as "partial 16S ribosomal RNA". It matches the Rfam family "Bacterial small subunit ribosomal RNA", at positions 338 to 795 of the family's 1533-position model. The record is from RNAcentral.